This 2316-nucleotide ribosomal RNA is filed under the name Triticum aestivum (bread wheat). RNAcentral describes it as "partial small subunit ribosomal RNA". Lineage: Eukaryota; Viridiplantae; Streptophyta; Magnoliopsida; Poales; Poaceae. The record is from RNAcentral.
AUGUCUUCCUCGGGCUAUGUUGCAGUUCCUAGGUGCUCCGUGAUCUUCGAUGGCACCAACUAUGCUGAGUUUGUGGGGUUCACGUGCAUCCAUAUGCGUGGUCUUCUUCUGUGGGGUGUUUUUUCUGGCGAGGUUCCCUGCCCGCCAUGUCUUGUUGCGCCUGUGGCCCCAAUCCCACCGGUGCCGCCGGUACUUGCUGCUGAGGCUUCCGAGGCUGACCGGGAUGCCGCCAAGGCCCUUGAUGAUGCUGCAGUUGAUGCCUAUGAUCAGCAGGUAUCUGCUUACUUCGAUGCUCUUUUGGCGUACCGGGAUGAUCUCUCUGCUUACACUCAGUGGUGCAAUGACGAUGCUUGUGCUGCUGCUGUUCUUACUGCCAGUGUCCUCCCUCAGUUUGAUUCGGAGUUCAUGGGACUUGGCAUAGUUGCAGCGAUGUGGUCUUAUCUUUGUCAGCGCUAUCAGCCCUCUGGUGAUACUCUCUAUCUCUCUGUGGUACGUCAGGAGCACGCCCUCCAGCAAGGUGAUUCCUCUGUUGAUGAGUUCUAUUCACAGUGCUCUACCACCUGGCGUCAGCUUGACUCUCUUCGGACAGUUGUUUAUGGCACCUGUCGUUGCUGUCAGACUAAUCGGUCAGAUCUGGACUUUCAGCGGGUCCAUGAGUUCUUAUCUCGUCUCCACUCUGAGUUUGAGCCCAGACAUGCUCACUUGCUUGCUCGUGGUCGUGUUCCAAUCUCGGAGGUGCUUGCUGAGCUUCGUGCUGAGGAGACCCGCCUUCACUCUGCUGGUCUGGUGAUGGUCUCGUUUGUGUUGGCUGCUCGGGCUCCUGUGUCGUCUGCUCGGCUCACCGCUCCACCGCUCCUCCCCACACCUUCAGGGGGGGAAAGCACCAUGAGAAACCUUUCAAGCAUGAUCUCCGCCAUGGCUCCGUGGAGCCACUGGGACACAACCGACCCGAACCCGUGCCUGUGGAGUGGGGUCACUUGCUCUGUGCCGUCUAACCGCCCCGGUUCAUCUGCAGUUGUGCUCCACCUCUCCAUGUCUCGCUUUGGCCUCUCCAACUCCACCGUACUUGCCUGCUUAUGCUCCCUUGACACCUUGGAAUCUCUGGAUCUCUCGAAAAACAGGUUCACCGAUCUGCCACGGCAGCUCUCCUCAUACCUCUUGGGUUCUAGAUUGCGCACGCUCAAUCUGAGCUACGCUCAGUUGCCUGGUCCGCUCGGCGACUUCACUGGUUUCCGCAAACUGGAGGUUCUUGAUUUCUCCUUCAGUUUGCUGAGUGGAAAUGUGGACGAACAGUUGAGUUCUUUGCCCAGAUUGAGAAGCUUGAACCUUAGUUCCAACACACUUGAUGGCAGCCUCCCAACAAAUAUGGUCCACUCUUUGAAGGAACUGGUGUUAUCUAGCAACAACUUCAGUGGCUUGAUACCUAGUGAAAUCACCAUGAAUACCGAGAUGUUGGAUUUGAGUUACAAUAAGCUUAGUGGUGAGAUACCUUCUGAUCUGUUCUUGGCUGCUGGUUUGCAUACCGUUGAUCUCACCGGCAACAUGCUUGAAGGGCACAUACCGCAAGGAUUCUCUCACAGCCUCUAUCGCCUUCAUCUCGGAGGAAACUUGCUCGAUGUGCCCACUGAGAUCAGCAAACUUGAUAGCAUGGCUGUUCUGAAACUGCAAAUGAACAAUUUUGACGGACAUGUACCAAGUGCACUUGUCGAUCUGGUGAACUUGAAUGUAUUGGACCUUAGCCAAAACUCAUUUACUGGAGAGAUACCACAUGAAAUUUUCCAGCUACUGCGGCUUUCAAACAUAUGUUUGCAGGGCAACAAGAUCACUGGCGCCAUUCCAACUUCAAUCAGUUCAUUGCAAUUUCUUAUUGAGCUUCAUCUCGGGGAUAAUGAGCUCACUGGUGUGAUCCCCACAAUGCCGACCAGCUUGAGUGCAAUUCUGAAUCUAAGUCACAACCAUCUCAGUGGAUCUAUUCCUUCAAAUAUUGGCGUUUUGAAGGACCUGGUGAUUCUUGAUAUUUCCUAUAACGACUUGUCUGGCCCGAUACCAUCCUCGCUCGAAGGUUUGCAAAGCUUGACAGAGCUGGUGCUUUCUUAUAAUCAGCUCUCUGGAUCCCUUCCAGCAUUUCGAUCAUCUGUGGCAGUCGAUUCCAGGGGAAAUCCAGAUCUUCUCAACAAUACCGCCAACGCUCCAGACGUGAUGACAAGCACCGAAGAUCACGGCUCGGCUAUAUGGGUUGCGGCAGUUUCAUUUGUGGUUUGCUUCGUCGUCUCUUUCUAUGGGGAUGGGAUCAGAAACGGGUGGCUUACAGGUUGA